AUUGAACGCUGGCGGAAUGCUUUACACAUGCAAGUCGAACGGCAGCACGGGGCAACCUGGUGGCGAGUGGCGAACGGGUGAGUAAUACAUCGGAACGUGCCCAAUCGUGGGGGAUAACGUAGCGAAAGUUACGCUAAUACCGCAUACGAUCUACGGAUGAAAGCGGGGGAUCGCAGGACCUCGCGCGAGUGGAGCGGCCGAUGUCAGAUUAGGUAGUUGGUGGGGUAAAGGCUCACCAAGCCAACGAUCUGUAGCUGGUCUGAGAGGACGACCAGCCACACUGGAACUGAGACACGGUCCAGACUCCUACGGGAGGCAGCAGUGGGGAAUUUUGGACAAUGGGCGCAAGCCUGAUCCAGCCAUUCCGCGUGCAGGAUGAAGGCCUUCGGGUUGUAAACUGCUUUGUACGGAACGAAACGGACGAGCUCUAAUACAGUUGCUAAUGACGGUACCGUAAGAAUAAG
RNAcentral lists this ribosomal RNA (464 nucleotides) under uncultured bacterium. RNAcentral's name for it is "bacterial SSU rRNA". It matches the Rfam family "Bacterial small subunit ribosomal RNA", at positions 30 to 490 of the family's 1533-position model. The record is from RNAcentral.